UGGCAGAGGAAAUGCUUGCCUUUUUUUUUUUUUAAGUUUGUAUUUAUUUUUUAACCAGAAAACCCCAAGUCACUAGGGGCAUAAAACCAGUGUUCAGCCAAAAAAAGGAAAAGUUUCCAUUUUCUGUCCCAGAAGAACAUAAUACAUGUGCUUGGAAAAGUGGAAUUCUUUCUGAAAAUGUUUUACUGGUUUUGGCCAAAGAGGCUUCAUUUUUUCCCCUCGUUCAGUGAAAAGUUUAAAUUUUCAGUGGAAAUAAACUUCUCAGGUGGCUUUAAUAUUUAGCUCAUUUACAAUAUGUUCAGGGGAAAAAAGGGAGGAAAGUUUGUUCUUUGAGUGUGAUCCACCAGCAUGUCAUACAGAAGUUUGCAGGUUUUUCUUUUUUUUUUCCUCCACCCCUUCCCCAGGGAAGUCGGUGUCUGCAUGUGCCUUGCAUGAUUGCACUUCGUCAUUAAACGGAAUUAAAUUAAUGCCUACAAAGGGUCUGAACUGCUAAAGGUCGGGCCUUUACUUAAUCAGGUCACCCAGUGCUGAAGGAUUAAGAGAAACAUAGGACUUACUCCAGGCCUUGUAGAUAAGCAAGGCUCCUUGUUUAUACCAUCAUUUUGCAACAAGAGAUGGAACUGUUGCGUAGUCCCACCAGAUCGGAUUUUGGAGGCACCUUUUUCUCCACGGCAUCUGAACCCUGUUUCAUCUCAGUUUCUUUGCCAAAAGGAAGGAAAGUCUACAAGAGGCCAUGAAAUCCUGUUGGCAUUCACUGAGGGCAGAUGUUUCCUUGCUCGGGGCUGCGUUCCCACUCACCUCGUCUGCGCAGCCAUCGGUUCCCAGCCCUGCUGUGGCUCUGCCAGCAAACAAGCUUGUUGAAAGGACUGCUUUUUACUAAAGGCCUCCUUGAUUGUCAGCAGCUCACCCAGCCCCAACAACAGCUUCACAGAAGUUACCUCCCUGCACCCUCACAGCUUUGGCAUUUUGUCUCCACCCUGCUAAGACAGCUAACAUGGAUGUGUUUUAACAGUGUUGCUAACACAUGGGCAUCCAUCAGCUGGAUGCCAGAGCUCAUGCCCUGCUGA
Molecule: long non-coding RNA, 1067 nt
Filed under: Apteryx owenii (little spotted kiwi)
Lineage: Eukaryota; Metazoa; Chordata; Aves; Apterygiformes; Apterygidae
Description: lncRNA (ENSAOWG00000001560.1)
Source: RNAcentral